RNAcentral lists this ribosomal RNA (974 nucleotides) under Bacillus sp. (in: firmicutes). RNAcentral's name for it is "bacterial SSU rRNA". The stretch from base 1 to 807 matches the Rfam family "Bacterial small subunit ribosomal RNA". Lineage: Bacteria; Bacillati; Bacillota; Bacilli; Caryophanales; Bacillaceae. The record is from RNAcentral.
AGCGGCGGACGGGUGAGUAACACGUGGGUAACCUGCCUGUAAGACUGGGAUAACUCCGGGAAACCGGAGCUAAUACCGGAUAGUUCCUUGAACCGCAUGGUUCAAGGAUGAAAGACGGUUUCGGCUGUCACUUACAGAUGGACCCGCGGCGCAUUAGCUAGUUGGUGAGGUAACGGCUCACCAAGGCGACGAUGCGUAGCCGACCUGAGAGGGUGAUCGGCCACACUGGGACUGAGACACGGCCCAGACUCCUACGGGAGGCAGCAGUAGGGAAUCUUCCGCAAUGGACGAAAGUCUGACGGAGCAACGCCGCGUGAGUGAUGAAGGUUUUCGGAUCGUAAAGCUCUGUUGUUAGGGAAGAACAAGUGCAAGAGUAACUGCUUGCACCUUGACGGUACCUAACCAGAAAGCCACGGCUAACUACGUGCCAGCAGCCGCGGUAAUACGUAGGUGGCAAGCGUUGUCCGGAAUUAUUGGGCGUAAAGGGCUCGCAGGCGGUUUCUUAAGUCUGAUGUGAAAGCCCCCGGCUCAACCGGGGAGGGUCAUUGGAAACUGGGAAACUUGACUGCAGAAGAGGAGAGUGGAAUUCCACGUGUAGCGGUGAAAUGCGUAGAAAUGUGGAAGAACACCAGUGGCGAAAGCGACUCUCGUGGUACUGUAACUGACACUGAUGAGCGUAAAGCGUGGGGGGCUGAACACUGAUUAGAUAUCCCUUGUAGUACACGACAGUCACGAUCAGCUAGCUGAGUGUUCAUGGGGAUUUCUGCCGCAUUAUAGCUGCUGCUGAUGGCAAUUACAACUUCCUCCUGCUGAAUACUGUUGUCACUACUGAACAAUCAACCGACUUAUGUCAGCGCUGCAUUGUGGAGCGAUGUGAGGUGACUGCAUGCAGUCAUGAGCAUACUAGUCCUGACAUGCCUUGGCACAUAAUAUACGCGUGCUCCGUACAAGACAAGGAUCGUGAUGACGUCGUC